GAAAGGUGCAUUACACUAAUCAGAGGAAUGCAUAACCUCUGCAAAGCAGGUUGAGCUUGUUCUUCUCUUUAUGUUCUUCUCUUUAUGAUUUCACAGCAAAAACAAUAACAUACACAAACUAAACACGGAAAUGAAAGAUGCCUCUUCUCACCUCCAUAACUGUCCUAUAACUCAGAACUCUGCAGAGCUGACAUACACAUCAAUGUCUGCUCGAAGUAACAAAAGUGCAAUCCAGUGGAAUUAAAUGCAGUUGUGUUUUGAUG
This is a long non-coding RNA of Chiroxiphia lanceolata (lance-tailed manakin), 263 nucleotides long. RefSeq lists it as uncharacterized. NCBI's taxonomy places the organism in Eukaryota, Metazoa, Chordata, Aves, Passeriformes, Pipridae. The transcript has 3 exons. The record is from RefSeq and is a predicted model, not a curated record.